UUUCCCACUACUUGAGGUAACACGAAUAUCAGUUUUCAUCUCCAGAGUGUUUACCUAACACAGCUUCCCAUUUAGUAGAUGCCCACUUUGUUUCAGACAUUAAUUUGAUUGGAUUUUUAUGUUGCCUUAUAGCAUCUUUAAGAAUAUAACCAGGAACCAGGGAGAAAUCAGAAAGGAAAAGCCCCUGAGCUAUCCGACAAGGCAUCUUUAACUCAAAGGAGAAAACCUUGGGCUCUUGCUGAUAGUCCAAUUUUAUAUCUUUACUUUAAACUCCUGGUUGGAGUGAGAGUAGGGGUGAGGGGUAGAAUACCAGUGCUAGAGUUGCAGGAGCUUCUGUCCACGCCCAGGAUGCCUCUUACCUUUCUGUAGCCCAGGUGGCUUUCGACAGUGAUUACCUGCAGGCUUCUGAGAAGCAUCUAAGGGGAGUAGCCAUCAGAGAAUGAUGGACAGAAUCUAGGGAUAAAAUCAAGCUCCCUGCGCCUCGCGUGGGACAGCGUCUCACAGACUUACAGAGGCGGGAGGAGGCUGAGCCCCAGCUUCCCACAGUGCUAAGUAACCUCUCAUUAGCGCAACCCGAUUGGCUGCCUUCCCUCUCCUCUCUCACUGGCUCGCUCUCUCCUCCUCCUGUUUUCCGAGACAAACAGCUUGCCCUCAAAUCCUCAUCUCAGGGUCUGCUUCUUCCUAAGCUGUGCCACAAGAGAGAAAAGUCAAGGGAUGAUGGAAGGAGCAAAGAAAACUCCAGGAAAGGCAGAGAGAACUAAAGUAGUUGAAGGCUGUGGGGUCCUGGAACAGAGACCACUGGGACGCAAGUGUCUGGAAGGUGGUUUUGUAUGUGUGUGUCUGUGCAGGCACUUCCUCACAGCUCCUCAGAAGACCUGGCGGCCGAAGGCAGGGACAUAGAAGAGGAAGACUUAAUUCCAGCCGGGGAGCAGAAGGCCUCAGGGCGAGGGCGAUGGCGCCGAGCAAUUUCUACUUUGAAUCUGUGGCACCCAUGGGACUCACUCCCAGCUGGUUGUCAGGUGUCUGAUGUGGGCAACAGGGCAGCUUUGUGUGGCUUGGGGGUGGGGGUCAGCCAGGCUCCGGAGCCAUGAAAGUCACUUUGACCCUGGUCUGUGUAACCGCCAGUCUCUGAUCUCAGAACCACAGGUUCAGAGGGGCUGAGGGGAGAACUUAAAGUAGAGAACUAGCACAGGGCAGCUGUGUGGGGUUGGUAGCCCGAGUGCCAUCAGACAUCAACGCUGCCUAUGGGGAAGCCUAGAGCCUGCCCAGGGAAGGCUGGGAGUCCCUCCUGCCUAUCCAGCCAAGCCACCUAGAUUUGCCUGUACUCUCUUCCCACACCUGUCCUUGUAACCAUUGCUCUAAGCACCAGCUUUUCUCAUUCUCCCACAGGAACCACUCUUCUGCCCGUUUUGUCCACCUGUGAAACUAUACUUAAUAGUACCUCCUCAGCCCAGGGACCAGGAGGCUCUGUCACAAUACAAAUCGCAUCGAGUCUGUGGCUAAUAGUGGCUUUGCCUAUUGCUGCUAAGUGCACAUGUCCCCAUAUCCAUAUGUCUGCUUGGUGGGUCUCCGGAAAUCUCUACACCCUAUAAUUCAGGGUGCUGGAGACAGUGUUGAGGGAAGGCUGCUCCUUGGUUUUCACUGCGGAACGAUAAGGUCUGAACACUUCUAGGCUCUGCGAUUGACCAUAGCUCCAGCUCUGAUUUCAGAAGAUAGGAGAACUCCAGAGGAUACCCCUGAAAUCAAUUUCCCCAACACCCGAAAGCUUAGUUCUCUUAGCUGUAGAUCCUUAUGAUCCUUGUUUGUAACCCCAGGGUCUAGCAGAGUAUGUGGCCGGAGUAGUAGGGGUUUAAUAGCUAUCAGUUGAGCAAAAGAGAUUUGGGGAAUGCUGCUGGCUGUGCCUUCCAUAGUGUGAAGGACCGGUCCAUCCUUCCCAGGAAGUAAGCGGGGUUGGGGAGGGGGGUGCGGGGUGCUGGCCAGGCCGAUGCAAGAGAGCUUCUGUCAGCUCGGGAGUUGGUCUUUGUCAGACCCUACUUAGCCCUUCAGUUGGGAUGCCAGUUGUGUAUGACUUAGUUUAAGCACUUUCAGGAGCCCAAAAAGGCAGCCACAUGUGGCUCAACUUGGAAGUUCAGGGAAGAAUGCUGUCUCCCACCCACGGGUCUCAGUGUCUCUGGGUCUGUACAUACGUCCAGCUCACUGAAGCUGCCUUUCCCGUGUGCAGCCUCGGCAAUGGAGCGGCUGCUGUCCCAGGGCUCGCAGAGCCUCACGGGAAUCUGGAAGGACUGUGGAUAUGUCCCUGGUGAUGUGCCAUAGCUCCCAAGUUGGGAAAAAUGGUAAUCAGGGAACAGGAGUGUCCCCUGCUGACCUCCAGGAGGCAGAGAGGAAGGAGGGCAAGAAGGAGCGUGUCCCACUCUGCCCGUGGAAUUUCUUUCUCUUUCCCGGAAGAAAGCGGCAAAGGCUGUCAAUCGCAUUAGGCUCAGCAGGAAGAUUGCUGCGAAGGCCCCACCACUCAGCGUGAAGUGGAAACUUGGCGGAUGGGCACUCAUCUCACAGGCCCUUAGACCUGUCCCUGGAGAGAGUCUGCUCUGGCCUCUCACUUGACAAGUGUGCUGCUUAAUUUCCAAACAGCUGAGGAUUUUCUUAUGGAAAAAAAAAAAAGAUUUAUGAAGAUGUAAUUCACAUUCCAUACAAUACACCAAUUUAAAGCAUGCAUUUCAAUGGCUUGGUGUAUAUAUAUAUAUAUUUUUUUUCAAAAUGAUAAUAAAAUACCCCAUUUUAACCGUUUUAAAACUAUA
Long non-coding RNA from Oryctolagus cuniculus (rabbit), 2795 nucleotides. NCBI's taxonomy places the organism in Eukaryota, Metazoa, Chordata, Mammalia, Lagomorpha, Leporidae. The record is from Ensembl.